AGGCUGAAACUCGCCUAUAUGAAGUCGGAAUUGCUAGUAAUCGCGGAUCAGCAUGCCGCGGUGAAUACGUUCCCGGGCCUUGUACACACCGCCCGUCACACCAUGAGAGUCGAUAACACCCGAAGCCUGUAGUCUAACAGCAAUGAGGGACGCAGUCGAAGGUGGGAUUGAUAAUUAGGGUGAAGUCGUAACAAGGUAGC
Molecule: ribosomal RNA, 200 nt
Filed under: uncultured bacterium
Lineage: Bacteria
Description: partial 16S ribosomal RNA
Rfam family: Bacterial small subunit ribosomal RNA
Source: RNAcentral